Molecule: ribosomal RNA, 493 nt
Filed under: uncultured bacterium
Lineage: Bacteria
Description: partial 16S ribosomal RNA
Rfam family: Bacterial small subunit ribosomal RNA
Source: RNAcentral
ACGAACGCUGGCGGCGUGCUUAACACAUGCAAGUCGAACGGUGAAGCGCCUUCCCUUUUGGUGGGUGUGGAUGAGUGGCGAACGGGUGAGUAACACGUGAGUAACCUGCCCCCUUCUUCUGGAUAACCGCAUGAAAGUGUGGCUAAUACGGGAUAUUCUGGGUCUGUCGCAUGAUGGGUCUGGGAAAGAUAUUGUUUCGGUGGGGGAUGGGCUCGCGGCCUAUCAGCUUGUUGGUGGGGUGAUGGCCUACCAAGGCGGUGACGGGUAGCCGGCCUGAGAGGGUGGACGGUCACACUGGGACUGAGACACGGCCCAGACUCCUGCGGGAGGCAGCAGUGGGGAAUAUUGCACAAUGGGCGCAAGCCUGAUGCAGCGACGCCGCGUGAGGGAUGGAGGCCUUCGGGUUGUGAACCUCUUUCGCCAGUGAAGCAGGCCUGCCUCGUUUGUGGGUGGGUUGACGGUAGCUGGAUAAGAAGCGCCGGCUAACUACGUG